RNAcentral lists this ribosomal RNA (301 nucleotides) under uncultured bacterium. Its description in RNAcentral is "partial 16S ribosomal RNA". It matches the Rfam family "Bacterial small subunit ribosomal RNA", at positions 512 to 810 of the family's 1533-position model. The record is from RNAcentral.
CCGCCGCGGUAAAACGAGGGGGGCAAGCGUUGUUCGGAAUUAUUGGGCGUAAAGGGUGCGUAGGCGGGUUGGCAAGUCUUGUGUGAAAUCUUCGGGCUCAACCCGAAGCCUGCACGGGAAACUGCCGGGCUUGAGUAUUGGAGAGGUGAGUGGAAUUUCCGGUGUAGCGGUGAAAUGCGUAGAUAUCGGAAGGAACACCUGUGGCGAAAGCGGCUCACUGGACAAUAACUGACGCUGAUGCACGAAAGCUAGGGGAGCAAACAGGAUUAGAUACCCCCGUAGUCCCUGUCUCUUAUACACA